UUGUUUUUUUAUAAUUUUAUGAACUAUUCAUAUCCAACUUUAGGGUUUAGGGUCGAAUCACCAUCGCUCUCUAUUUUCUCUUCUUCUUCGAUAGUUCCGUCACUCUCUUCUUAUGGAUUGUUGGUCCCUUUCUCUCCCUCUCGACGACGAGUUCAAGAAGCUCGUCAAUCAUAUGAACCCUCACAGGGUUACCAUUGAUAAUGAUUCUAUCAGAAAAGCUACUCCGAUUAAGUAAUCAGCCCUUUCGUUGCAUCAGCAAGCAGCCGAAAACCGCUGCAAAGCUCAGACACAAACACCUCGACGUCGAGCUUCUGUGCCAUCACCGGCAACAAGUCUUCAUACCCUUCAUCCACUCUACUUGAGGUAUUAUGAUUUUGAU
This is a long non-coding RNA of Cucumis melo (muskmelon), 379 nucleotides long. RefSeq lists it as uncharacterized. The record is from RefSeq and is a predicted model, not a curated record. The transcript is spliced from 3 exons. NCBI's taxonomy places the organism in Eukaryota, Viridiplantae, Streptophyta, Magnoliopsida, Cucurbitales, Cucurbitaceae.